GCUGCGCCGAGGUCGGGCCGGGGGCGGGGUCUGAGCUGCGGUUGCCGCAGGGACUGAGCGGGACGCGACUCGAGGGCGGAAGUGAGGAAGUUGGCGUCCCCAAGAGCGGCGGAGCUGUGCGCGCGGCGGCCAUGGGGGGCUCGGGCAGUCGCCUGUCCAAGGAGCUGCUGGCCGAGUACCAGGACUUGACGUUCCUGACCAAGCAAGAGAUCAUCCAAGCCCACAGGCGGUUUUCUGAGCUGCUUCCUCGGGAGAAGCAGAAUGUGGAGGACUCGCUACGAGAACGUGUUUCCUUUGAGGAUAUCCUCAGCCUUCCAGAGCUCAAGGCCAACCCCUUCAAGGAACGAAUCUGCAAGGUCUUUUCCACAUCCCCUGCCAGAGACAGCCUGAGCUUCGAGGACUUCCUGGACCUCCUGAGUGUGUUCAGUGACACGGCAACCCCAGACAUCAAGUCGCACUAUGCCUUCCGCAUCUUUGACUUCGAUGAUGAUGGAACUCUGGACAGAGAAGACCUGUGCCGGCUUGUGAACUGUCUCACUGGGGAGGGCGAGGACACUCGGCUCAGCACUUUGGAGAUGAAGCAGCUUAUUGACAAUGUACCCGUGGGUCCCUGUCUGCUGCAUUUGGAUCUGGGAUGCUAUUAUGGGAGGUGGUACUGAGGCAAGAGAGAGCUCUGGAUCCCCCAGAAUGUCUCAGGUCACUCUUCCAGUGGGAAGGUCACCCAUGUACCCAGAUACAGCCCAUUCCAAGGAAAAGUCUUAGGAGAGAGCUCUUUUAAGAUUGUCCUGUGACUGCAGUCCUGGUGUGUGUCGUAGCACACCCUGUCCAAGACCUUCCCACUGCCGAGCUGUGGUCUGGGUCAUGUCCACGUCAUCAGGGCCAGCCAGCUGGCCCAGCCUGGAGCUGGCACUGCAGUGGGCUGGGGCAGGGAGCACCCUCCCCGCUCCUCACUGCUGCUCUCAUUGCUGUUUCUACUGAUCAAUAAUAAAGGUUUCAGAAGUUU
Cavia porcellus (domestic guinea pig) is the source of this 1003-nucleotide RNA transcript. It is a transcript of the gene named calcium and integrin binding 1, with no coding region annotated. The record is from RefSeq and is a predicted model, not a curated record. NCBI's taxonomy places the organism in Eukaryota, Metazoa, Chordata, Mammalia, Rodentia, Caviidae. The transcript is spliced from 7 exons.